AACGAACGCUGGCGGCAUGCCUAACACAUGCAAGUCGAACGAGAACUUCGGGUCUAGUGGCGCACGGGUGCGUAACGCGUGGGAAACUGCCCUUAGGUUCGGAAUAACUCCCCGAAAGGGGUGCUAAUAACGGAUAAUGUCAUCGGACCAAAGAUUUAUCGCCUUUGGAUGGGCCCGCGUUGGAUUAGCUAGUUGGUAGGGUAAAAGCCUACCAAGGCGACGAUCCAUAGCUGGUCUGAGAGGAUGAUCAGCCACACUGGGACUGAGACACGGCCCAGACUCCUACGGGAGGCAGCAGUGGGGAAUAUUGGACAAUGGGCGAAAGCCUGAUCCAGCAAUGCCGCGUGAGUGAUGAAGGCCUUAGGGUUGUAAAGCUCUUUUACCCGGGAUGAUAAUGACAGUACCGGGAGAAUAAGCUCCGGCUAACUCCGUG
Molecule: ribosomal RNA, 433 nt
Filed under: uncultured bacterium
Lineage: Bacteria
Description: partial 16S ribosomal RNA
Rfam family: Bacterial small subunit ribosomal RNA
Source: RNAcentral